UCGCGACAUGCGGUCUCUCAU
This 21-nucleotide microRNA is filed under the name Monodelphis domestica (gray short-tailed opossum). Its description in RNAcentral is "mdo-miR-7247-3p". Lineage: Eukaryota; Metazoa; Chordata; Mammalia; Didelphimorphia; Didelphidae. The record is from miRBase by way of RNAcentral.